Molecule: ribosomal RNA, 333 nt
Filed under: Triticum aestivum (bread wheat)
Lineage: Eukaryota; Viridiplantae; Streptophyta; Magnoliopsida; Poales; Poaceae
Description: partial small subunit ribosomal RNA
Source: RNAcentral
AUGGAGCUGCCCCCGCCUGGAUCCGGCCCCUGGCAGCCGCCCCCGGCGCUGCCCCACGCUUGGGUUCGGCCGCUGCGUCGCCCCACGCCUGGAUCCGACCGCUGCGCUGCACCCGCCCCUCGAUCCAGCCACCGUCAGCACCCCUCCUCCCCGCACACAAGCGCCGGCGUCCACCGCCAGCCCCAAGCGCGCCGUCCAGGAGCCCCAUCCCCAGACAUCGUCCUUCGUCGUUGGCGCACCAUGGACAUCUUCCUCUUCUGCCUAGAACUUCUUCGUCGUUGGUGCUUGCGUGCGCACGACAGCCACAUGUGGUGUGAGGAGAAGCCAAGCUAA